GGCGAACGGGUGAGUAACACGUGGGCAACCUGCCCCCGGCUCUGGGAUAACUCCAAGAAAUUAGGGGCUAAUACCGGAUAUCCACGGCUGGCCGCAUGGUCUGGUGGUGGAAAGGGUUUCCGGCUGGGGAUGGGCCCGCGGCCUAUCAGCUUGUUGGUGGGGUAGUGGCCUACCAAGGCGACGACGGGUAGCCGGCCUGAGAGGGUGACCGGCCACACUGGGACUGAGACACGGCCCAGACUCCUACGGGAGGCAGCAGUGGGGAAUAUUGCGCAAUGGGCGGAAGCCUGACGCAGCGACGCCGCGUGGGGGAUGACGGCCUUCGGGUUGUACACCUCUUUCAGCAGGGACGAAGCGGCAAGUGACGGGUAACCUGCAGAAGAAGCACCGGGCCAACUACAGUGCCAGGCAGCCGCGG
Molecule: ribosomal RNA, 418 nt
Filed under: uncultured bacterium
Lineage: Bacteria
Description: bacterial SSU rRNA
Rfam family: Bacterial small subunit ribosomal RNA
Source: RNAcentral